GUAAACGUAGUUUAAACACAAAACACCAGCCUGUGAAGCUGAAAACAGAAAAAAUUCUCAUUUACC
This 66-nucleotide transfer RNA is filed under the name Xerotyphlops vermicularis (Eurasian blind snake). RNAcentral's name for it is "tRNA-His". It matches the Rfam family "tRNA". Rfam says of the family: Transfer RNA (tRNA) molecules are approximately 80 nucleotides in length. Their secondary structure includes four short double-helical elements and three loops (D, anti-codon, and T loops). The record is from RNAcentral. Lineage: Eukaryota; Metazoa; Chordata; Lepidosauria; Squamata; Typhlopidae.